RNAcentral lists this ribosomal RNA (460 nucleotides) under uncultured bacterium. RNAcentral describes it as "partial 16S ribosomal RNA". It matches the Rfam family "Bacterial small subunit ribosomal RNA", at positions 338 to 795 of the family's 1533-position model. The record is from RNAcentral.
CCUACGGGAGGCAGCAGUGAGGAAUAUUGGUCAAUGGACGAGAGUCUGAACCAGCCAAGUAGCGUGAAGGAUGACUGCCCUAUGGGUUGUAAACUUCUUUUAUAUGGGAAUAAAAUGUUCCACGUGUGGGAUUUUGUAUGUACCAUAUGAAUAAGGAUCGGCUAACUCCGUGCCAGCAGCCGCGGUAAUACGGGGGAUCCGAGCGUUAUCCGGAUUUAUUGGGUUUAAAGGGAGCGUAGGCGGAUAGUUAAGUCAGUGGUGAAAGUUUGCGGCUCAACCGUAGAAUUGCAGUUGAAACUGGCAGUCUUGAGUACAGGAGAGGUAGGCGGAAUUCGUGGUGUAGCGGUGAAAUGCUUAGAUAUCGCGAAGAACUCCGAUUGCGAAGGCAGCGCACUGGACUGCGACUGACGCUGAGGCACGAAAGUGUGGGGAUCAAACAGGAUUAGAUACCCGAGUAGUC